GUUUGAGGGGAUGUGUAAGG
RNAcentral lists this small nuclear RNA (20 nucleotides) under Arabidopsis thaliana (thale cress). RNAcentral describes it as "snRNA_09033". The record is from RNAcentral. Lineage: Eukaryota; Viridiplantae; Streptophyta; Magnoliopsida; Brassicales; Brassicaceae.